Molecule: long non-coding RNA, 1158 nt
Organism: Carassius auratus (goldfish)
Lineage: Eukaryota; Metazoa; Chordata; Actinopteri; Cypriniformes; Cyprinidae
Exons: 2
Source: RefSeq, a predicted model, not a curated record
GAGACAUUAGCAGAGAAAGAAGAUAGGAGUGACUGAUACACAAUAAGCUUCCUGACAGACUGGCAGCAGCUAGUGAGACUGGGAAAACCCACAUCCAACAGCUGCACCAUCAGCACUGGAGCUCCUCAGGGCUAUGUUCUCUCCCCACUGCUAUUCUCGCUCUGCACAAUUGACUGUACCUCUACUGACAAACUCCUGAAGUUUGCAGAUGACAACACAGUCAUCAGCCUCAACCAGGAUGGCAACGAGUCUGCUUAUAGACAAGAUGUUGAGCAGCUGUCUGUCUGAUGCAGUCACAACAACCUGGAGCAGAAAACUCAAAACUGUGGAGAUGAUCCUAGAUUUCAGGAGGAACCCCCCACUUUCCCCACACUCACCCUCAUGGACAGCACUGUGACUACAGUGGGGUCAUUCAGGUUCCUAGGAGCCACCAUCCCUCAGGACCUGAAGUGGGACAUUCACAUCGUGAAAAAGGCCCAGCAGAGGUUGUACUUCCACAUGAAUCAUAACCUGUGUUCUGUAAUUCAUUCUACUUCUUUAUUUCCUUCUCAAGGAUUAUGUUAAUACAAAUGCAUAGCUCUUUAUUUAUACAGCUGUAAAUGGAGUAAAUAAUGCUGUAAGUCUGUACAUGAAUCUAAUGUUCCAGACUCAUACACAUUAUUUAUUGUGAAGUCUUGUUAUUGAAGUGUUUUUCUGUUCUCAUGUCAAAUAUGUGUGUUAUGUGUAUCAGGAUCACCUUAAAAAAAAUUCAUUGUGUUUGCACACACAUAUAAGCGAAGAGAGCUAAUUCUUAUCUAUUUUGAAAUAAGUUCAAUUCAGCAGCUCUACAGAAAACUAUAGCCAUAAUUAAGUUUUGAUUAUCAUUGCAGUCAUAUCAGUAUUCCUGAAUAUUUUACACUAGUGACAUCUGUUAUCCGAAGUGGCGGUUAUAUCACUGUAUUUUAAAUGUAUUCAUAAUUUUGUGAACCUGGUCUGGAAGAUAUUAAAAAAAAAAUGUAAUUUUAAGUCAUCUUAUGGCAGAUUUGGGGAUCAGUGAAACUAACUUGUACCUGAUGGCAUAGAGGUAGAUCCCUUCCAUGCCCAGAAUUCAAUAUAAGAACAGACAUCUUUGCUUCUAAAGGAAAUGCAUAAUGCUGAACGAUUUCACUACCUUCAAAA